This 497-nucleotide ribosomal RNA is filed under the name uncultured bacterium. RNAcentral describes it as "partial 16S ribosomal RNA". It matches the Rfam family "Bacterial small subunit ribosomal RNA", at positions 28 to 507 of the family's 1533-position model. The record is from RNAcentral.
GAUGAACGCUGGCGGCGUGCCUAAUACAUGCAAGUCGAGCGAACAGACGAGGAGCUUGCUCCUCUGACGUUAGCGGCGGACGGGUGAGUAACACGUGGAUAACCUACCUAUAAGACUGGGAUAACUUCGGGAAACCGGAGCUAAUACCGGAUAAUAUAUUGAACCGCAUGGUUCAAUAGUGAAAGACGGUUUUGCUGUCACUUAUAGAUGGAUCCGCGCCGCAUUAGCUAGUUGGUAAGGUAACGGCUUACCAAGGCGACGAUGCGUAGCCGACCUGAGAGGGGGAUAGGCCACACUGGAACUGAGACACGGUCCAGACUCCUACGGGAGGCAGCAGUAGGGAAUCUGCCGCAAAGGGCGAAAGCUUGACGGAGCAACGCCGCGUGAGUGAUGAAGGUCUUCGGAUCGUAAAACUCUGUUAUUAGGGAAGAACAAAUGUGUAAGUAACUAUGCACGUCUUGACGGUACCUAAUCAGAAAGCCACGGCUAACUACGUG